This 267-nucleotide ribosomal RNA is filed under the name Citrobacter braakii. RNAcentral describes it as "partial 23S ribosomal RNA". It matches the Rfam family "Bacterial large subunit ribosomal RNA", at positions 1 to 259 of the family's 2925-position model. Lineage: Bacteria; Pseudomonadati; Pseudomonadota; Gammaproteobacteria; Enterobacterales; Enterobacteriaceae. The record is from RNAcentral.
GGGUUGUGAGGUUAAGCGACUAAGCGUACACGGUGGAUGCCCUGGCAGUCAGAGGCGAUGAAGGACGUGCUAAUCUGCGAUAAGCGUCGGUAAGGUGAUAUGAACCGUUAUAACCGGCGAUUUCCGAAUGGGGAAACCCAGUGUGAUUCRUCACACUAUCAUUACGUGAAUACAUAGCGUAAUGAAGCGAACCGGGGGAACUGAAACAUCUAAGUACCCCGAGGAAAAGAAAUCAACCGAGAUUCCCCCAGUAGCGGCGAGCGAACG